UUUUUAUUUUUUUCCAUUAUAGCUGGUUUACAGUGUUCUGUCAAUUUCCUAUUGUACAGUAAGGUGACCCAGUCACACAUACAUGAAUACAUUCUUUUUUCUCACAUUAUCCUGCUCCAUUAUAAGUGACUAGAUAUAGUUCCCAGUGCUAUACAGUAGGAUCUCAUUGCUUAUCCGUUCCAAAGGCAAUAGUUUGCAUCUAUUAACCCCAAAUUCCCAAUCCAUCCCACUGCCUCCCCCUCCCCUAUUUAUUUAUUUAUUAGGGCUGCACCUGUAGCAUAUGGUGCAGGCUAUUGGUCACAUUGGAGCUGCAACUGCCGGUCUAUACCACAGCCACGGCAACUCGGAUCCGGGCGGUGUCUGGGACCUACACCACAGCUCACGGCAAUGCUGGAUCCUUAACCCACUGAGCAAGGCCAGGGAUCGAACCUGCAUCCUCAUGGAUACUAGGGUUCUUAACCCACUGAGUCACAACAGGAACUCCUGCACGAGGUUAUGCCAAUAACCCAAGCGUGAGCUGGGUGGGGACUUGGAUCUGUGGAAUAAUGUGCAGGUUGCAAGAAGUCAGAGAACCUGGAUGUGUUUUGAAUGUAAAGCCAUCAAAAUUUGCUAACAUACUGCACUGGGUGUGGGGGGAUGGGUGAGGGAAAAGAGGAGUCAAGGAUGAUUCCUGAGAACUGCAUGGAUGCUGCCGGCCUGGGCUGGGGUGAAGAAGACUAUGAGUGGAGGAGAAAAUCAGGUGAGUAUUCACAUUGCUCUGCAAGGUUGGGACUGUGGUUAUCUUCCAUAAAAAUUGGGACCCAGUGAGGUGAGACUUCAUAUGGUGCUGGGAGCUUCAAGAAAGCUACCCCUGCAGGGUUUGGAGCUGGGGAGCUCCUGGGAGUGGGAGCUCCUGGGAGUGGGAGCUGCUGAGGCUGGGAGGGGUGAUCCAAGCUCUCCAGAGCCAAACUAUCCAGGAGGUCCCCACCUCUAACACACACCCUGUUUGCAGGGCAUUGAGGCUUAUGCCUUGGCCCCUGGGGGUCUUGUCCACCUGGAACAAGGAAGCAGUCAAGGUAAUAGCGGCUUUCUAUUUAGACGUUCUAAUGGGAAUGCAGAAAACCAAGAGGGGUGCAGGCUUAUCAAGUUCUACCUUGUAAUUUAAGAUCCACCUAGUCCAAGGGUGUUCAGAAGCAUCUUUGCACAAGCUGGGGGAAAGGAAGAGAUGUCUCUGGCUCCUCCUCUUCUGCACCCACAUUCUUGAUUCUCCAACACACUCUAGGGAGGAUGAAAAUGAAAAGGGAUAGAGGAGAAGAAAUCAGGAGGAAAAGAAGGGAAACGUCCUCUAAAUACUUGUUGUUCUGACUCAGAAAAUGAGAUAGAAGAAUGGAAAUCUCCAAGAAAACCUGAGCCUUCCUGCCCUAGAAGAUGAACUGCCAUGACUACUUACCAACCUCCUCCUCCCGGUGUAGCCAAACAGCACUGGGGAACCACGCUUCAGAGGGGAACACUGCUUCUUUUUCAAGUUAAACACAUCAGAGCCUGUGGUGUAUAAGCCACAUGGGGUGCUGGGAGUUCCAAGAAAUGAUGAAAGAAUAUCGUUGAAAUCUAGACACAGAAGCUCUGUGCAGCUAGACUUCUACUCAGUGACUCUGCAAACUGUAUUAGCUACCCUUCAUUCACUGAGUCCUGAUGUGUGCCCAGUAUCAUAUGGUGUCUCAUUUAACGCUCACAGCAACCAGGUGAAAUAGUUCUUAAUAUCCCAUUCUCUCAGGUGAAGACACAGAGGUUCAGAGAAGUCACAUGCCCCAGCCAGUCAUGGAGUCGAAUUUGGACCCAAGUCAGUCUAUUACAAAACCUGUGUCUUUUUUUCUUUUUUUGGUCCCGCUCACAGCCUUCACAAGUUCCUGGGCCAGGGAUCAAACCCAUGCUACAGCUGUAACCAGAGCCAUAGCAGUGAUAACACUGAGCUACAAAGGAAUCCCUAGAGCCUGUGUCUUAACCAUUGUAUUUCACUGCUUCCUAAAGGAAAAGGACAAGAGAGAAACACUAAUAAUAGCCAC
This 2042-nucleotide long non-coding RNA is filed under the name Sus scrofa (pig). RNAcentral's name for it is "lncRNA (ENSSSCG00025021083.1)". The record is from RNAcentral. Lineage: Eukaryota; Metazoa; Chordata; Mammalia; Artiodactyla; Suidae.